Molecule: long non-coding RNA, 646 nt
Organism: Herpailurus yagouaroundi (jaguarundi)
Lineage: Eukaryota; Metazoa; Chordata; Mammalia; Carnivora; Felidae
Exons: 2
Source: RefSeq, a predicted model, not a curated record
UGAGACCAUGAUCCGAGUCAAAAUCUAGAGUCGGAGGCUCAAUUGACUGAGCCACCCACGCGCCCCACCACCGCCCCUUUCUUAUCCCAAACAUCCCUUACUUAGCACACUGAACCUGGAAGUCUAAAUGACAGUCUCUGCCUCUGGCUUUGUUCUUUCCCUUCCAGUUCCUGGCCUGGGAUCAUCUUUGCCCCUUCCUACCUUUCCAGAGCAGAACCUGGCUCUUUGCGGCACAACAGUGGGGGUAGCUUCUGAUUAGGAAAGAGAGCUCCGGUCAGGGUGGCAAAUUUGUCCCGGUAUUCCCAGAACUUCCUGGAUUAAAAAAUUGAAAGUCCCACAUCCCAGGAACCCCCUCAUUCCAGCAAGGAGGUAUUUGUGGAGGCUUCCAAGAAGACAAACUGAACUGGAUGGGAUGUUUGCUUUCACGGAUCAGAAAUGAAUCACAUCACUUUCUUUCAGUAACGACACAGAGUUGCAGAGUCACAAGAAAGAAACAACAGAAAGAAAAUGUUUUCGGGGUGGCGGGGGGGAGGUUGUGAAUAAAGGCUCCUGCGUGGAGACCCAGGAUUGUGAGACAGAGAUUGACAAUGUUUGACUGUGGUUGCCUCUAGAAGGACAAUAAACUUGCCAUGCUUAUUUACAACUA